GACGGGAGCAGGCAGAAAGGAGGCAGGGCGCGUUACAACGGGCUCUUGCAACAACUUGCAGUGCUUUUUCGGCCCCAAAGGUGAUGUCUCUGUGGCUGGGAGCCCGGGGGCCAGGUCCCAAGGCCUCCACCUCCCCUCAGUGACCGGUCAUGGCGGGCUUGGGGGUAGUGGGGGCAGAAGUAUUGAAGGCCUCGGUGAGGCAGGCCCGAGGGGUGGACCCGCGCUCUGCGCAGGUGAGACCUAGGGCGAUGAUGGAUUCUGGACCACGGAGACCCGGCGGCGGGGGACAAGGGCGCUGGAUUUAAAUUUCACGAUUCAAUGAGGCACAGAAAUUUCAUUUUAAAUCUGGAGGAGUCUUACUUAUUAAGGAAGAAGCAGGGAUCUCACAUCUUAGAUCACCUUCCACUCCUCGUCAAAACUGCCAUCACUCUUCUCACCUUUGCAAGAAAGCAUUUUUGACAUGGAAAAUAAAGAAAAUGUAAGCAUCUUCAGAAAAAGGAUUACUUCUUAUUCACUGUUGUAUCUCCAGAGCCUGAUAUAAUACAUGGAAGGUAUUCAAUAAAUGUUAAUUGAAUGACUAUCGAAUACAGUGAAUUGCCUCUAGAUCUCUUAUGACAGUCUCAUGCUUAGUUUCCUCAUCUAUAAAAUGGGAACAAAAGCAGUACUGCCUGAGACGUUUCCUGUGAAGACUGGAAUGAACCAACACCUGUAACAUACCCACAACAGGCCUGGCUGUCAAUAAAUGCUCGCCAUUACUACCUUCA
Equus caballus (horse) is the source of this 764-nucleotide non-coding RNA. NCBI's taxonomy places the organism in Eukaryota, Metazoa, Chordata, Mammalia, Perissodactyla, Equidae. The record is from RefSeq and is a predicted model, not a curated record.